Molecule: ribosomal RNA, 373 nt
Filed under: uncultured organism
Description: partial 16S ribosomal RNA
Rfam family: Bacterial small subunit ribosomal RNA
Source: RNAcentral
GUAGGUGGCAAGCGUUGUCCGGAAUUAUUGGGCGUAAAGCGCGCGCAGGCGGUUCUUUAAGUCUGAUGUGAAAGCCCACGGCUCAACCGUGGAGGGUCAUUGGAAACUGGAGAACUUGAGUACAGAAGAGGAAAGCGGAAUUCCACGUGUAGCGGUGAAAUGCGUAGAGAUGUGGAGGAACACCAGUGGCGAAGGCGGCUUUCUGGUCUGUAACUGACGCUGAGGCGCGAAAGCGUGGGGAGCAAACAGGAGUAGAUACCCUGGUAGUCCACGCCGUAAACGAUGAGUGCUAAGUGUUAGGGGGGUUUCCGCCCCCCUUAGUGCUGCAGCUAACGCAUUAAGCACUCCGCCUGGGAGUACGGCCGCAAGGCUG